Ornithorhynchus anatinus (platypus) is the source of this 138-nucleotide non-coding RNA. The record is from Rfam. Lineage: Eukaryota; Metazoa; Chordata; Mammalia; Monotremata; Ornithorhynchidae.
CUCCUCUCAGGGUCGCACCUGGAGAGUUUCCAGUACUCUACCAGUCUCAUUUAUGGGAGGGAGAGUCAAGCAGAGGCCUACUCAGUCCAUUCCUAGCUUGGCCAGUGGCUGGUGAGUGGAAGGCAAUCUGCUACAAAU